GUGCAAAUGACACCUCUAGAAACGUUUUCAAAGUUUCUGUACCUCCAGCUCUGAGAUUUCAGAGCGAUGCUCAUGGAAGCGAAUACUCAUGAGAGCAGAUGCUGUAAAAUUUAUCACUGGAAAUGCACAGAGCCAUCGUGGCCCUCGGAUUGAGCUAAGCCCAUAGAAAAGCUGCAAGUCUGGAGAAAUGAUUGCAGGGUGAUGCCUGGAAGCAUUCCCUUCCCAAAGGUUUUAGGAAGGGGGAAGCUGGAAAGCAGCUCCUCGGCUAGGAAGCUGUUAGUGGAGGUGCUGAGAUCUGAAGGGGAUGGAAAAUGUCCUUCUACAGGAAGAUGAAGAGGGACAGUUGAAACACAUGGAACUCACUUGCUUGGAUAAGAACUAUCUCCAGAUUAAGGGCUGGAAAGGAAAAGGAAAAUCUGGAUCGUGCCAGGAACAUCAUGACUUCACUCUGUGCCACUGAGGACCCGAAUUCCUCAGCGUGUGACAGUCCAGGCAACCCUCAUCAUUAACAACAAAGUCAAGUCCCAGGAGUGCAGGGUUACUCUCAUAAAUUGCAUUGCUGAGCAAGAGGUUGGCAGAUGCAGAGUUUUGGCUCAGGCUGCCUUGCAGGCUUUCCAUGGUGCUGGGUGAAGGAGGGAGAGGGGACUGCUCAACAGAUUAAAUCACUCCAAAACAAAACAAAAUAAAAAAAUAAUUAAAUUUUAAAAGGGACCUCAGUGAAUUUAGCUGGUAAAUAAAAAUAGAUGUUUUGCUGUGGCUAGAGUCUUAGCAAUGUCCCUAUCAGGUCUGCCCUGAAAAUAAACAGUGGGUGUAUAAUCUUCCUCCCCAUUGAAGUCAGCAGCAAUUUGAUGUUGGCUUUACCUAUGGAUGAUAAACUUGACUGUGUUUGCAGCCAUUCAGGGGAAAGCUUUCCCCCAUCUCACCCAGGAAAUCCUCAUAGAGUCACCAUCCCCAGAGAUGUCCAAGAAAUAUGGAGAUACGGC
This 983-nucleotide long non-coding RNA is filed under the name Gallus gallus (chicken). The record is from RNAcentral. Lineage: Eukaryota; Metazoa; Chordata; Aves; Galliformes; Phasianidae.